AACCCACUAAGAUGGCUUCCUUUGUAUCCUUCCUAGUGCUGCUUCUUGCAGCCCUUAUCCUCAUGCCUCAAGGGCUUGCUACUUACUACAAACCAAUUAAGAAGCCACCAGUGUACAAGCCUCCAGUGUACAAGCCACCAGUGUACAAACCACCGGUUUAUAAGCCAAAACCACCGGUUUACAAGCCGAAACCACCGGUUUACAAGCCACCAUAUAAGAAGCCACCAUACAAGAAACCACCUUAUGGAAAGUACCCUCCAGUAGAGGACAACACCCAUGCCUAAAGCAAGCAAUGAGGUCUAUUAUCUACUUAAUAAAUAAGAGGAACUGCUUUGUGUUUUCUAGCAUUGUGACUUACAACUUCGUAGCAAUGCAUAUUCUUGACUCUUGCAUGCACUUCAAUCCUUCGUAGCAUUAAUGAUGUGGCCAAGUCAUCAUGAGCAUCAUACUUAUUUCUUUGUGAAUGUAAAUCAAAAUUAUAAGAGAGAAAAUGGUGCUUUUGUACUACAGAUUACUAUAAAUAAAAAACUUUUAUGGUUUUCAGAUUGUGCUGGUUGAUUGAUUUGCUCUACCAUUAAUUAUGACGAAACGUAGUUUUUUUUUUUCUCUUUUUUAAUCCGUAAAAAUAAAAAAAAUAAAAAAAUAAAUUUAUAAUAAUUCACACUUUAUUUAAUUAAUCGAAAUAAAUUCCAUAAUAGAUGAUACAUAGUUUGACAUACUAUUGUUAAGCUUAAGAUUAAAGAUCGACCCUAUGUUGCAACUAAACUUUCUACAAUCAAUUUUAUAAAUUGGAUUGGUGCAUGUAAGUCUAGCUAGCUAGAGGCAGAAGAACAGUACUAGAGUAGUAGAUGGAAGCCACUCUCCACGCACCUCAAAUAACUCGCAAUUAAACUUGAGCAUAACAUCAAUAGCGACUUAAGUUAAUUUCAAUUAUGGGCUCUAUUUGAACAAAUUUCUCUAUAAAUAUUUCCAGAAGAAAAUAUUAAGAAAACAAUAAAUUGAACUUCUCAUUUAAGUUAAAAUAAACAUAUUUGUAUAUUUUUUAUAUAAAAACUCUCAUUUAACUUCUCUUAAAAAUAUUGAAGUAUAUAAAUUAAUUUUAGCUUAUGAAAAAAAAAAUCAACUUAUUUUAAUUUUCUAUUCUUAAAAAGCCAUAGUUAUAGUUAAUGUGUACAAAGACCAGUUCCUACGAGAGUUGCUGUAUCCUCCUAAACCAAAUAUCCGAAUACUCCUACUCAGUAAGAAUAUUUUGAUAUCUGUUAAUAAUUUUAUAAUAAAUUAUUUAUUUAAUUUGACAUUUUAAUAUUUAAUUUCUUUCCAAGUUUACCCCUUUUCCAUAUGACCAGUCAACUUAUCCUCUUCAUUCGACUUUAAAAAGAGUGGGUGGUGGUGCGGUGAAGCUGAAAACCACACACAAUGAUGGUGGUGGAGAAUGUGAAAAUGGUUGUGGUCGGAGAAGGAGGUACAAGGGACAAAGUUAACUGAGGAAAAAAAAAACUCAGCGUGAGAGAGGGUCUUUUGAAAAAAAGGACAAAUUUGGAAAGGAGAAAAAAAGUUAAAAAGUGUGUUAACAAGUGUGAAUGCUUAGGUGAUUCAGUUACUUUUUCGCCACAUAUGAUCGGAGGAAUAAACAUUUCUCUUUUUCAUAUUACUAUUUUUGUAUGUUUGUCUACACGUACAUGUGGACGGUUAUUUGUAUCAAGUAUCAACUACAUAUGGGUGUCAAAAUUUAAAACUGAACCGAAUUUAAUGAAUUGAUUCAACAACUCUAAUAUAUAUGUGAUGUGAUUUGAAUUUUAAUAAUUUGCGUACGAUUUUAAUUUAAUUUUGAACCUACUUCAGUACAAAAAUUUACGUAUAAUCUUACUACAAGUACUUAAGUCACCACAAUCAUCUACACUCACAUCUUGAAAAAGUGACAUUGAUAGCAAAUUCAUGAAGUACUCACAGCUAACGUCAUUUGAUGGUUGAAUGAACCCCUCAGCUACCCAUAGCUGAAUGAGUGUUCUCUUAUCAAACUCAAAACCUUUUGGAAACAAUGAACAAUAAGCAAAACAGUUUUCCAAAAAUGAAGGAAGAUGGUCAAAACUCAGUUUAAGGAUUGCAAAGAUUUUGUCCUUCUCUUGAUCUAUCUUUGAAAACCCAACUUCCUUAGAGGCUAUUACUAUGCGCACCCAGCAUAAUUACUGGUACAUCCAGCAUAACAGCAUAAUUCCCGUUUUGUCCUUUCCUAAAAUUGAUACAAAUUGUCAAUUCAUAUAAGAUUUACGGAUUGUCCAAUCUGUAAGUAGCCCAAAUAUUUUUUUAAUUUUUUUUUUAAAAAAAUAUGUUUUAUGAAUUAAUUUAAAAUUAAUGAUUCAUGCAAGAAUCAAACUUAUAACUUUCACGUUAUUAACACGACAUUCUAACCAAUCUCAAUAUUCUUGUCAACCCUUUUAAGUUAUUUUCUUUAUGUUAGUUUUUAACCGAUGUUGAAAGUGCCGAUGUUGAAUGUAUUAUCGUUAACAUCGGUUUUAAAAAAACUGAUGUUAACGUUAAUUUUACAACAUCGUUUAUUUAAAUAACCAAUGUUGAUAAUAAGAAUUACACCCAAAAAAAUGUAUUAAUGUUGAUAGUUAACAUCGGUUUUUUGGAAAAAUCGAUGUUAACGUAACUUAACAUCGGUUUUUUUAUAUAAAAUUGAUGUUAACGUAUGUGUUAAUGUUGACAGUUAACAUCGGUUUUUUGGAAAAACCAAUGUUAACGUAACUUAACAUCGGUUUUUUUACAGAAAACCGAUGUUAACGUAUGUGUUAAUGUUGACAGUUAACAUCGAUUUUCUGUAAAAAAAAAGAAAACCGAUUUUAACGUACGUUAACAUCAGUUUUUUCCAAAAACCCGAUGUUAACGUAUGUGUUAAUGUUGACAAUUAACAUCGGUUUUUCCAAAUAAUCGAUGUUGUUUUCAGGAUUUUUUUUUAAAUAUUCUCUCUGUUUUUACAAAAAAAACCAAAAUUUAACCUGUAAAUUUAAAAUUAGACCACACAGCAUAUAUGAUUUGCAUUUUGCUUUCAAAUAGGUUUUAGCAGAAAACUAGCUAGUAAACUAUUAAAAUGAAACAUCAAUUGUAAAAAAUGUAAUGCAAAGUACGGUAAACUAAUUAAGUAACCUAAAGUUACAUAGUUCCCUAACAUCCUAUGUUUGAUUUCUAACUUUUAGAUAAUAUUGUGCCCACUGCAUGUGAAGCGCCUUGAAUCUCUCUGCUUCCAAUGAUCUAACAUCAUUAAAAUACUGGAUGAUCAAAUAAAAGAUAAAUUAAUGAUGUAAUAACAAUGAUAAGAAAAUCAACUUUGUUUGAAAUAAACAAUUACCGUUUCUCAAUUAUUCCUGAAAGUUCCUGAGAUUAUCGUGGACAUCUAGUGCAUGACGUAAUAGCUGUACUCAGUGUUUCGUUUUUGUCUAUUACACUAAAUACAUAAUGAAAUUUGGAUAUUAAUUAAGCGUUAACUACAAUUAGUGUACACACACAUAAGCAGUAUAUAUAAUUAGAAGUUUAAUUUAAAUCACGUACCUUAACAACAAUCCACCUAGCCGCAGCCUUGGAUUUAGGUUGUGGAGUAUCAUCAAGUCCUUUCAAAGCACUAUUGAAUACGAGGAACAUUAAAAUAUUGAUGUUGUUGAGUUAUGCUAAUGCAAAUAUAUUGAAAACAACAUUGACCUGUUAAUUAUUCCCUUAAGGUAGUUGUCUGGCCUGUUAUGUAAAGAACAAAACCAGACAACUAGGUUUUCCUUAGGCAAAAUGACGACCAUUUGCCAGUGUCCGCUGCAGUGGAGACGAAUAUGGGCUAUUGUAAUAGUAUAGAUUAUUUAAAUUCAGUUGUUGUGUUUGACUUACCAAUUCAGGUAAGCUCCAAGGUAAACAUCGCGUUUUGAACCCUGCAUCCAACUCUUGAUGUAACUUUUCGAUUCAAAUUGUGAUUGCCCAAAUCUCUGAAUGGACUGUGGCUCGAGAAAUCCAUACACAUCGGAAUUCCCCGCUCACAUACUUGUCUCAGUCAGAUGCCUGUGUUGUUAAGACAAAGUUAAUUAUGUAUGAAUUUAAAACAAUUACUUUGUUAAUUAACAGUAAUCUAAAUUGACUUACAAAAUUCACAACUGUAUAACAGAGAUGCUGAGACAUUGACCACCGUGUGCUAUUUCAUACAGAUCUUCAUGCUUUAUGUACAAGGGAAAGUCUGAAUUAAACAGCCCGAACAGGGAAGCAUCCCACAUAACCUUGAGAGGCUUCAAAAACAAUUGUGGGAUGGUCAAUGUCAUCAGAUGCAGAGGAUCAUCGACCUCACGAUCCGGGCUUUUUGGAGGUUUUGCUAGAGACACAACUGCCUGUUAAUCAAACAUAGUUAAUUAACAAGUUUUGAUUACAGUGAACAAAUCAAUUGAAAAAAAGAAACAUAUAAUCAGAGUAAAAUACCUGUUCUGAUAAACGUUUCACGAGAUGUAUCGGCCAAGCAAGGAAGGUGUUAAGUGUCUGCCCCACUAAGGUAACCUUGUCAAUGGGUACAGGAACGGGAGUCUCUGCAUCUUUAACCUCCUCAACACCAACCUUCACUUGGCCAUGCAACAAAGGGAUGUUAUGAACCACUGUGGAUCCCUCAUAAAGUCUUCCUAGGGCAACCAAGUAGGAAGGAUUUUCUUCAAUUUACAGCCCGCAUUUGUCUGAGUCAUCCGUCUCUGGAUCGUUCCCUGAGGAAUCAACACAACUCUUCUUUGUGCUGACACGAGCACUUGAGGGACCAACCUUUGGCUCCGGAGGCAGUGUAAAUCCCUGUGAUUGCAUCUGAGACUGAAACUGGGACUGCAUUUGGCUGAAGGAUGCCAUCACCUGCUGAGUAACUUUUUCUGUGAUCGACUCCUCCAGCUAGUCCCUGAUUUGUUGGGUUAACUGUUGUAGGUCUUCAGGAGGCAUAGAGGAAGAACUACGGGACAUUCGUGUAGCCAAUCCGAAAUAUUGCUUUAUGGUCACAUCAGCUCCAGCAGCACGGACACGGCCAGGGUGCUCUGAUCGCCCAAUGACAACAGUCAGGACAUCCUGACGUCUAUGGGGGACGAACGAUCCCUGUGACGCCUGCUCCUCCAAAGAAUCCUGUACAUAACACAUAUAUCUGUCCAAGGCAUUCACAAAAUACACAAAGAUAAUUACAAUUCUUAAUUGAAAAUGACUUACAAUCUUCUCAGUUAUUUCCUUUGUUGCCUCAGACGUCAUCGGCCCAGUUUUCUUUGUGUAGACCAUUUUUCACUUCAUGUGGCGUCUGAUGGGAGAUGGAGGGUCAAUGACGCCCUCAGUGCUUUCGGAUUGGGCAGCUUCCUCCAGUCUUUUCUUUGUCUUCUCAGCCAUAAGCUUUUGUUCUAAAUAUUCAUAACCCCCACGAAACAACACGUGGGGGGCAGUGUUUUGCUUCUGGAUGACUUGUGUUUUUUUCCGCACAUCCUGCAAAAAUCGAACAUUAAUGAAAAUGAUUACUACAAUGAAUUAUAAGAAGUUAUUUUUUUUGUGGAAAACAACUAAAAUGACAAACUACAUACCUCCCACGAGGGGUCUCUGCGGGUCUGACAAAACUUGGCCCAUUUCUCCUUGCUAAUGUCGCAUUUUUCACAGACAGUGUCGUCCACACCGUCCUUGUCGGCUGCAAGUGCCCAUUUCCUGGUCAAGUCAGAUUUAAACUGCCUCCACGGCUUGUCGACAGUCUGAAGAAUUUUCUUCUUUGUCCUACUGUUAGAAGCUUCAGGGAUUUCAGAUGUUAAGAUCAAGUAGUUAACAUCGGUUUUGACAUCGGUUUUGAAAAAACCGAUGUUAACUAACUCGACUUAUUUACAAAAAUGUCAUCGUGCUUUUCUUAACAUUGGUUUUUUAAAAAAUCGAUGUUAAUCGUGCGAUGUUAAAUCUAUAUUUUGUAGUAGUGUUUAGGUAUCUCAUAAAUUAGUCAAUUUUAUUUUGAGUUCUUAAAUUUUUUUCUUUUUAUUUGAUCCUUGAUAUUUUAUUUUUGAGUUCAUGCCGUUAAAAAUUUUAAAAUGCAAUUUUUUACUACUAAAAAUAAUAACAAUGUAAAUUUAUUUAAAAUAUUAAAUUACCAUUUAUGGCAAUUCAAUUGGAAAAAAUGAAGUAGAUAUGAUCAAAUAAAACCUUACAGACAAGACGAAGUCUAAGGUGGUCAAGUGAGUUAGGUGAUUUCUGGUGGUCAAAUAAUUUUUUGCCAAUAGAUUUAUUAAUAAAAUAUUAAACCAUUCAGAUGAAAUCUUUUUGUCAGUUUUUAACAAUUAAAAUUAUUUCCUCCCUUGUCUGUCGUGCACCACCAUUGGCAACACGUCACUACCUUGCUUUACUUUCCACUCUUCUUCUUUCCCUCUAUUUCCCUUCGUACUUUGACACCUCCGUAACCUCACUGUCAUGUUGUUGAAUUCACAUCCUUGAUUUUAAUUAUGACAAACCAUUAGCAAAACAAAUUGAAAGGAUGAUGGGUUUAAGUGAUGGCUAACAUUUCUCCCAAGCGUUUUAGUGUUUAUUCCUUAAGAAGCAUAAGUGUUCUUUCAUUCUGAUGUACUUAGAAUGAUGCUUAGAAAGGUUCGAAGAAUUGUUGUGAGAGUUGAAAACUUAGAAGAAUCCUUAAAGCCCAUCAAAAUGAUGAAAUUUGCUUCCCUUUGAAUACUUAGUUCUUGGCAAGAUACUGAACAACCUUACAUAAAAGAUUCAUCAAAAGAUUCAUCAAAGGCUACCAGAAGAACAUCUUGGUUUAGAAUGAAGUUAUGCAGAGUCUACAUAGAAUGACAAACACCUUGACUCUGAGUUUCUAAACAUCAGAAUGAUUCAGAAAGACUCAUAAUGCAUCACUUAAACAAUAUUAGAAGAUUAAAGUUUCACAUUUCUUCACUUUGCAUAUGCCACCACAAUCACUGUAGGCACGUUAGAAAGUAAGAAUUGACUGCAUAAAAAGAUGUAAAAUUGUUGAAUGAUGAAGUUGUCCAUGAGAAGCAUUAAUGUAAACCAUCAGAUUGAAGGACUAAAGAAAACUACUCAGCCUGACCAUAGACAAAACACUAACACACCAACAACUCAAUUUCUACUAAGUCUUUCUAAAGUAAAUCAACUUAAGAAUGUUUCAAAGUUGUGAACAAGUGUUAAGAGUGAUGAAGUUGUACGACUUCGGAUUGAAAUUUCUAUCUAAACUUCGUCAAAGGAAUUCAUUAAGCAUGGACUCAUUCUUUACAAACAUCAUAAUGACUAUUGUGAUGGUUCUUCAGAAUCCGCAUAAAAAAAGUUCCUCAGAAUGGUAAUCUCCAAAUGGUUUUGUCUACUGUCACUUCAUGAUAGUUAUAAGGUGAACCUACUUGCUCCAGAAAUGUUUCAGUUGUGUGGAGCCCACUACAAUGAUUUUCUUGGGAGCUUUAUAAGGAAUUUUAGAAGGCUAUGAAGAACAAGUUGAAGCAUUCCAAAUUUGUAUCACAUUGUGCAAGUCCUUUGAGUAAGAAAUUUGUGUUUUAGCUUCAACCCUCUCUGUUAGAGUGACCCACUUUUGUAUUGUGCUUUCAAAGCUUGUAAUAACCUUAGAUAGAAAUGAGAGAUUAAGUUCUUGAGUGGAAUCCCUCAUGUGAGGUGAAAAUCUUUAGCAUGUGUCGUAAAACCAUAGAUAUUUUUUUUUUAUGUAAAGUCCAAUAGUGACUAGCAAAGGUGAAAUCCAGUGGUGCAGCUGGUCUAGUAGAAGAUUGAAGUCUAGUAAGGAAUUGACAAGGUUGUGAAACCCAAUGGUUGUUGGUCCAGUUGUGAAUUGGUUGUGUUACUGAAAUAACAUCUUUAAGGGUGAGGAUUGGACGUAGCCCAAGGUUGGGGUGAACCAGUAUAAAAACCUUUGUGCACUUUCUUCUCUUUCUCUAUAUUUUGUUCUUGCACAAAUCUAAAACUACUUUUGUAUAAAAUACUAAAUUUGUUAACUUUUUAUCUUAACAACUAAACUAAGUUUUGUUUUAUCAAGAGGUAUUAGUAAAGAACUAUCUUUAAAACAAAAGUCUUAAAACUGCAAAAGAACUAUUUUUUUGAAUGGUUUGCAUUUUCAUUCUGAGUUGCUUGAAUUUCCAUUCUAAGCUCAUAACAGUUUUUAUAUUCUGAACUACCAUAAAAAAAACCUUUUUGUUUUCAAAGGAAGAUUAAAAGUUUUCAAAACCCCAAUUAAACCCCCAUUUUUGGUAUUUUUCUCACUUCAAUUAGCAUCAAAGUUUAAAUGAGUUAUUCACGAGCCCUUAAUGUCAAGCUUUCAAAGCUUGAGUUUGACUCAUUUAAAUAAUCAAGCUUAAUCUCAAGCUUAAAUUUGUUUGUUUAAUUAAACAAAUGAACUUAAAUGAUUAAUUAACAAGUUGAACUUGAAUAGUUCACAAAUAGUUUGUCUUAUUCACAUCCCUAACUCUUCAUUUUUUUAUCCAUAGGAAUUGAAUAAGAUAUAAAAAAAUUUAGAACACUCAGACACCCUGCUUAAUCAACUAAGUUAGACACCUUUAGUCCCUAACUCUUCAUAUGGUUAUAAUCAUAUUCUAGUAACAAUAUGUUUCAUUUCACUACCUUACUAAAUUACAGGACUGACUUCAUUAUUUUGCAACACCCUUUACAUCACAUCAUUCAUUCAUAAAAUUUGCAUUAGUUAAAUAAAAUUAUUCAUCAUCAACAACUAUGUAAUGUAUACCACCAUGCAAUCAAAGGAUAAGCAAUUAAGAAAAUAUUUAAGCUUAUAUAAUCCAAGUAGCAUGAUUGCCUUAAUUGGUACAUAAUGCAAGGCAUAAAAACCAAAAAGUGGCAGUAUGUGUAAUAACAAAAUGAAACAAAGGAAGGAGAAAAAAUUAUUUGUGUGUUACAAAUAAAGAGGAGGAAGAAGGAAUAAUUUAAAAAUAACUCCAUAUAUUAUUUGUUCUAUUAUUUUAUCCAAUGAAUUGUGAAGAAAAUAGAUGCAUUAGUAACUAAUUAUCUAUAAAAUUAUAUGAAUUGGUCCAAUAUAUUAUUUAUUUAUUUUGUAAUUGAAGAAUUUUCUCAUGAUUAACUUAGAUGAAUAAUGAAUAAGUUAAUUAUUUUGUUGCUCCUAAUUUAACCUGGUGUGUCUAUAACUCAUGGUUCAGGUUGACCCAUUCUCUUAAUCUAACUUUGUUUGUUCAUUGAGUUGCUCUUUAAUAUGGGUGGGCUUAUUAUCAACAUGGCCAGUAAUAAUGGGAAUUGAAUCAUGCACUCUCAUAAGUGUAUCCUAGAUCCCACUAUUCCGUUUGAAAUUAUUUGAUUGCCUUUAAUCAAUUAGCACUAUCUUCCCCAACCCAUUCGCGAUGUCUCCCUCCUACGAAGGUUGCUCCCUUCCUCCUUCGUCUCAAACCUGCAUAUCCUCGUUCCCUUCCUUCUUCGUCAUUGAAGGCAAGCUUCUUCCUUUCUGGUGGGGUUGGGGUUGGGUUCUGGUAGGGAUGGGUUUUGGGGGUGGCUUCUGGUAGGGGUGGUUUCCGGUGUGGAUGGGGUCGCAUUUCAAAAUGCUCAUUCUGUAACCAAAAAAUGCUUUCGGAAUGAGCUUUCCAUAAGCAAAAAAAGCUUCAAUUUUUCAUAAGCCAAAAAAACAUUCAGAAUAGUUGUUCUGGAAGUACUUUAGCUUAAGCAACGACUAUUCCAUAAGCAAAUUUGUAAAUCCAAAACAUCCUGUCUAGAAGUGUAUUUUAUAUAUUUUGUAAGGGGGGUUCCAAAAAUUAGUAUUGGGCUUACAAAAAGCCCAUUAUGGAAGCAACAUCUGCAAUCCAAAGUAGCCUUUCCAAAAGUGUAUUUUGCAUCUUUCAAAAAGUACGAUUUUGGCUUAUGGAAUGACCAUUUCGAAAACAAAAUUGCAAUCCAUAAUAGUUUUUUGGGAGUACAUUUUGUACCUUCCAAAUGUUCAUUUGAGACAACAAUAUUUUUACUUACGAAAUAGGUGUUCCAUAAGAUUUUUCCUUCUGAAAUGGUCAUUCCAUAAGUGAAUUUAUCCCUUACGGAAAGCCUAUUUCGGAAACAAGUUUACAACAUGAACGUGAAUGCACGUUAAAAUGUACCUGCAAAGUGGAGAGUUAGAGAAGGAGAGGGACUUUUGCGGUGUUGAGUUGGACUUGCUUUGUACCUUCAAUGGUUGCGAGAAAAAGAGUUGGAGAAGAUAAGAAGAACUGGAAAAGGGGUUUAGACUUGCGCUAUAGGAAGAGAAGAACGAGAAUGGGCUGCAACUACGAGAGAAAGAAGGGAAACCGAGGAUGAGGAUAGAAAGGGUAGGUUGGGGUUUAUUAAAAAAUGGGAGAUGCAUGAUACAUUUAGGGAGGUGCAGAAUUCCAGUAAUGACCAACUCAAGUCCAAUUAAUGGUGACAUCAUAAGUUAAUGACUUAGUGUCACUUUUGAUCCAUUAUGUUUCGCAAUUAUUUUGUUUUAAUACAUUGAGUUUAAAAUGUUUCAUUCCAAUCCUUUAUGUUUUUGAAAUAUAUUGUUUUGACUCUUUUUCUAAUUUUCUAUUUGAAAUGUUAGUUUUUUGUUAAUAUUUAAAUUUCAAAAUAAUUAAUUUAUGACAGUGGUGAUUAAAAAUCGUCACAAUAUUUAAAUUAAUUAUCUUAUUAUAAAUAUAAUUAUUUAAACAUUAAUUGUAGCAAUUUUUAAUUCCAACAAAUUUCUUAUUAAAUUUUUAUAAAUGAUUCUUCAUCCUUGAAGAUUCAAUCUUCAUUCCACAAAUCAACAAAUGCAGUUUACAAAUAGCAAGAACAAUUUUUAUUUGCAAGAAACAUAGAGAUGUUCACUCAAUAAUGAUAUAAAACUUGUUCUUUUUUACACAACAAAACACAAUGAGCCCUUUUUUUUUUUAUCACAUAUGACGAAAGCAACAGCUCCAGGGUCAUUAAUUAGCUUUGCAAACGGGAUCUGAUAAUCACAACCGUGGUUGAUAAUCCUCCAAUGUAAUUUGUGUUUAUAAAUUUUAUUUUUUACUCCUUUAUAUACUAUUCAUUUUCUAAAAAAGAUUACUCAUGUAUGUAACUAAAGAUUAUAUUUUUUGUUUCUGUUUAAAAAAAUGUUUUCUUAUGUUAAUUUUUUUUCUUAAUCGAUGCUUUAAUGAUAUAAGUAAUUAACUAUUUGCUCCUGCAAUGUAGUUUAAGUGUUAUGCUACAUUGUUAGUUUUUAUAUAUGCAUGUGGGAAGGUUCACUUGGAACAAGUUGCAGUGCAAACUUGGAGUCUAAUAUACAUAUAACCAUUAAUGGAAGCCUUCAUUCCAAUAGACAAUAUAUAUAAGUUGUUUCGUGCUUAUAAAAUUGUAAUGUUUUUUGUAAAGGAUGUUUAAGUGUGUCAAAUAUGUUAUAGCAAGGCAAGGUACGUAGCAGUAAACUUUAAAUGAUGAGUCAAGCAUUUCCAGUAAAUCUACUCUAAUUGCAUGUUUACAUUGAAAUUUUAAAGUAUUAUUCAUUUUAUGUUAGUAGUCCUACAGCUGGCUACUAGCUAGCAUGAAUGUUUAUGUUGUUAUUUUGUGGAGAAAGUCAAAUAAUUGUUUUAGGUGAUUAAUUUCACGCAUUUAGAUAUGGAUGCUGAAAAUUCUUAAGUCAGACUUUGAAUUGUUUCAUGUUCAUAUUAAUAUUCAUAUAAAGAGAUAAACAAAUAUGUAACUUAGCUCUAUUUUUGUUUUGGUGAAUUAGCUCUAUUUAUUAUAGUCUAAUAAUAAUGGCUGCAUGUUGGACUAAAUAGCAGAAAUAUACUUUGCGGAGAUCAUUAAUUGUGAUCAAAAUUGUGGCAUUUUUUUAUUACCACUCAUAAAAUUAUCACCAUGAAAACCCUACUAAUUACGCAUUUAACGAUCCUCAAUUAUUUCAGUAAAAUAAAUUUUUGUCUACCUUAAUUUUUUUUUUCUGUAAAAUUCUCCUAUAGUUAAAUUUACAAUAGAAAUUUUCAAACGAUACUUUUUUUAAGUAAAUAAUUAAUUAAAUUUAUGCAAAAUAAUUAAAUUAGGUCAUAUCAAAUUUAAUAUGAAUUAGAUUAUUAUUUUAAUACUUAUUUACUUACAUAAAAAUAUUUAUUUUUUAAAAAAUAUAAUUAUUCACAUGAGAUUUAUAGCAAAUAAUUUUUUAACUUAAUAUUUUUAUAACUUAUUACAACUUUUUUAAACAUUAUACACCAUUGUUUUAUUUUUUGCAAUUUAUUUUUCUGUAGUUAAGGUACAACUUUGAUGAGGAAAAUGGACCAAUAUUAUAGAUAAAUCACAUUAGUCAAAAAAAUGUGAAUAAGAUGAUUUAUUAAAAAUCAUAUCACCAUUAAUUUAAUGUUUUAUAUAAAAGACAGGUUUGAUAAUGAGUUUAUAGUUUAGGAAAUUUAAAUUAAGUGAAGGGUAAAAUGUCAUGAAUAAGUUUGAAAAUUCAUAUCUUAUUUUUAGGUAUUGAGAGAAGGAUAAUGAAUUUUAAUGAUUUUAAUAUUGUUUAUUUGAAUUUGUGCAUUCGUUCAAUGAAUUUUAUUUUUCAAUAAAAAUAUCAAAUGUAGAAAAUAAAAUAAAAGAUUUUUUCUUUUUCACUAUUUUGAUUCUUAAUUUCAUAAAUAUUUUAAAUAAAUUUUAUAUUAAAAUUAAAAAUAUAAUAAAAAUAUUUGUUUUAAUCAAACGUGUUUUUAUUUUUUAUAUGAUUUUGAAAAGAAAUUAAAAGAGAGAAAAUACAAAAUUUUACUCACAAUAUAAAUUUUUUUCAUGAUAUAAAAAAAGAAAAUAGGAUUAAUAAAAUUUUGUAUGAUAAAAUAAUUAAUAGUAAAUUUAUUUAUUCUUUCUUUUACUUAUCAUUAUUUUAAAAAUAUAUAAAAUUUCAUCAAAAAUAAAUAUAUUGUAAUUCUUCCUCAAGUUAAAUGAUAUAUAAAGUUAUAUUUUCUUAACUCUAAUUUUUCUUUAUAUAUAUAUAUAUAUAUAUAUAUAUAUAUAUAUAUAUAUAUAUAUAUAUAUAUAUAUUUUGUUAAAUUUCCCUUUACUUCCAAAUAAAUAAUAAUUUUCAUUUUCCAAAACAAAAUUAGGUGAAGAGAUGAUUUGGAAAAAUAAGUAAAAUUUGAGAUAAUUAUUUUUAAUUAUAUAAAAAUUUCUAAACAAAAAUUGUAAAUGUUUAUCUGUCAUUAUUUUUCUGAAGUUUUAAAGUUAUUGUUUAAAAAAAAUUACACCUCCUACACAUAAUUUGUCCAGUGUGUCGCACAGAAACAUGUACUAGUGUAUGAAUAUAAGAAUAACACAUCCUUAUAUAAGUAAUUUGGUGUGAUCAUUUAUAUUUUCUUUUUCUUUUAUGUGAUUCUCAUCAUAUAAUAUAAACGGUAAUAUUAAUAUAUCGUUAGUUUGAGUAAAAUUAAGUUUAUUUUUUAAAAAUAAAAUCUAAGAUUCAAAUGUUAUAAAUAAAUAAAAAAUAUGAUUAAAAAAAAGCCAUCUAAUUUUUUUUGACAAAGGUUAAUGAUAAGUUUAAUCUGAGCAAUAACAUGACAGUAGAAGCAACCGACUGCAACUCGUCUACUUGAAUAUCUUCCUAAUAAUUGUUUCAACUUUCAAGCCUCGUGUGCUUUGACAUUUAUGCUCCAUAUCCUGAAAAUUUUGAUAAGAUAAGGGACCAAUCUAUACACAGUCCCAAGGAGAUUUGCAAGUAAGAAGAGAAAAAAAUAAAAUUCCAGACCCAUUGUUGGUGAAGGCGAAAUGUGUAGUGGGUUGUCAACGCAAUGCAAUGGUUCACAGUGUGCUGGUCUUAUUGAUGUUUUUUGGUUGCAGGUUCAAUGGUGGUUCUGAUGUAGAGAAGAAGAUGAAAGGGCCAAGGAGGAGAGAAUGGAACAGAGGAAGAAGAAGAGGGUAGAUGAGGAAAGAGAGAAAGAAAAAUCCAAAAAGAAAAUAAAAAUCCCAGCCAUUGAUUUUAAUUUUAAAAUAUCUAAUAAUUUCAAUUAGUUUCCCACUAUGCCAAUCUCGUAAAACUUUCGUCUGGCACCGUGCCUCGCUGUUGAAGGGUUCCCAUGCUAGCAUCUGCCAACACGAUCUGACAUUUCAACUAGGGGUGGGUAUAUCGGUCGGUUUAGUCCGUUUAAGAUCUGACAUGUGAAAUCAAUAUUUUAAGCUUAUUGGGUAAAUCUGGUUGUAAAAUAGAAAGAUUUUUUUUCUUUUUUUUAGAUUUAUAUUGGUUUCCUAAUCCGGUAAAUAAACGAAUUGGUCCGUGGGUUCAAUUAAUAAUUUAAAAAUAAAAAUAAAAAUAUAUUUUUAAUUAUUUGGUAGGUUCGCAAGCAAGAGAGGGGCAACACACGUCAACUGAAGAAGAGAAAGUAAUCUUGUGGAUCUCGUGACAGAAUGAGAGCUGGAGAAGGAGUGAGAGUUAAAAAGAAGAGACUGCCAAGUAUAAAGUCUCAACUCAAAUACUAAAUUUAUGUAAUUUUUAUUUUAAAAUUAAUUUUAUCUUAUUAGUAAAUCUGUGUAUAAAAUUCGUUAAAUUUGCAUACUUAACGAAUCAAACUCAAAUAUUAUUUAUAAUUAUAUGGAUUUAUAAAAAAAUAAAUUGAUAAUAUGCUCAAUCCACGAAAAUAACGGACCGUCCCCGCAAACCUGAAUAGUCAUCCCUAAUUUCAACGGAGUGGAAAGUGGGAAACCAUGAAACUUGCUACGUACUGUGAAAUUAAAAGGUCCGUACUAAUGUACGAAAUUAAUAAUCUUCUCCUCCCUUGUCGUCAUUUCUCACCUCAUCAUAUACAUAAUAAUACAUUAGUACUUUUUUAGGAGGACAGGCCAUAUAUAUUUUUAACACAUUUUUAAUAUUAUUUGUUGUUAAUUAGUUUUUUAAUAAAUUAUAAGUUAAGUUAAAAUUUAUUAAAUUUACAAAACUAUAAGAAAAAAACAUUAAAUAAGAUGUAGGAUCUACAAAAUUUAUAAUUUAUAAUAAAUUUUAACUAAUAAAUUUUAACUAACAAAUUUUCAGCAUUUUUCUAUUCUUUUAGACUACAAGUAUUGAUUAAGUUAAAACAACCAUGUGUUAAUGGUUCCUAUAGUAAUAUUAUUAGGAUAGAAUAUAAUUAUUUUUGGUACAAAAAUACAUGGGAUUUAGAUAAAAAAAAAUCCUGUUAAUUAAUGUUACAAGAUACAUUAUUUAAACAUUUAAAAAUUAACAUUACAUUUAGCAUUUCAAGUUUUCAACGGAGUAGAAAGUGGGAAACGAUGAAAUUUGCUACUCUUAAUUUAAAAGGUUCGUACUAUAAAUUAUAAUGAGAUUCGUCUUUACUUUCGCACCCUCUAUACAUUAUAGUAAUUUAAAGUGCAUGUGAUAUGGUAUGCGAAUAUUUCUACCUGUUGUUUAAAAUUUAUUUAGAAUAUAGUACGACACUGAAACAUUAUUAUCUCAUAAAAAAAAUUUAUAUAAUUAAAAAUAAAUUUAAUUUAAUACAUUGAUAAUAUAAUUUUUUUAUAUCAUCAAUUAAUUAAAAAUCAUUCUAAAUAUAAAUUUUAAAAUAACUAUUAUAAAAGUAAAAAAAAUUAAUAUACACAACAAUUCAUAAUUAGAUGACAUUGCGUUUUAAUUAAUUCAUUGAAAAUUAGUGCCUUUUAUAAUAAAUAAUCUAGAAGUGAUAUUUAAAGUGGUUUCUAAUUAGUUAUUAGUAUACAUUUUUACAGUAGCAUAGUUUUAAAAUUAAACUUCCAGUAUAUGUUUUUAUUUUCUAGAUAUACAUGCAGAUUAAAAAUAUAUUUUAAAACUAAAGGAGACUUUUUUGUUAUAUAAUAAUAAUAAUAAUAAUAAUAAUAAUAAUAAUAAUAAUAAUAUAAAGUGAGAGAUGGAAAUGUAUGAGGGGACGAUGUUCGAUUUAUUUUUAUGAUGGGAACAUAAUUUUUUAAAAUAAAAAAUAAUUAGAAAAUUUUAUUUAAAAUAUUUUUAUUAUUAAUAUAUCUCUUAUUAAAAUUAUAUAUAUAUAUAUAUAUAUAUAUAUGAGAUUGCUAGCAUACUCUAAUGUUAGAGUAUUUAAAUAACCUACAUCAAAUUAUUAGAAUAAAAAGCUUAACUAUUUAUUUUGUGAUAAUAAAUUUAUUUAAAAAAAUAUGAUAAUUUAAUAUUUAUAUUUUUAAAAUUCAUUUAUUUAUCUCUUCAACUCAUUCUCUCUCCUCUCUUUUUCUCUCACAUCAUUUAAUAUUUAUAUUUUCAAAAUUAAAAUUUAAAAUAUUUACCGAGAGAAUGAAUGAGGAAAAUAAAUAAAUGAGUUUUAAAAAUAUAAACAUUAAAUUAUCAUAUUAUUCUUAAAUAAAUUUAUUAUCACACAAUAAAUAGUUUAAUCUUUGAUCUAAAUAAUUUGGUGUAGGUUAAAUACUCUAACAUGAGAGAGUAAGUUAACAAAUCAUUUUAUGAAUGUACGUAUGGGAAGGAAGAAUGUAAUAGAAAACAAAAAAGAAAGAAAAAGAAGGAAAUUAAAAAUAAUAAAUGUAAUUAAUGAUUUAAGAAAAAAAUAAAAAUAUAGUAUACAAACGAGAAAAUAAUUACAGUCAGACUCAGAAACUGUCAUGAUAUUUAUUCAUCUCUAAGUAAAACAUAAUUUUAUUUUAUUUUAUUUUCCCCUCAGAAUUUUAAAAACUCAAGUGUCUCAUGUAUAGCCAAAAAAACCAUAGACGCAUGGUAGUUGGAGAGCCGAGAGCCUACAAUUAUUUCUGAGACAAAAGAUGGAAGAUAAAGUUUACAUAAUUGUUCUCUCUCCAAUUUCUAUUAUAAGAAAAAAAAUAAUUUCAUAUUAAUUAUAAAAUUAAUUAAUUUUAUUAAAUUAUGUUAAUUCCAAAUAAAAAUAAGUUUUUUAAAAAAAUUAUUUUUCAUUAAAACUUGAUAUCAAACAUAAAAAAAAAAUUAUCCUAUCAAAUGAAAGACAUUUAUUUAAAAAUAGUUUUAUUAAAUACGGUAAAGUUAAUUAACUUUUGUUUAUAUAAAAAAAAGCAAUUUUUUUGUUGCUUAUUAAAAAGACCAGUGGGAGUACUAAUUAAAACAAAACUAUGGCUGCUAUGUAACAUGGCACCAGAGAGUCUCAAUCCUUAGAGAAAUUAAAUACCAAACUUUGACAUUUCACAGAGUGAUGGUAGUAAUAAAUGACAAGGAAUGAGACCCAGCAUGGACCCAGUCCUUUGACCACUAUUAUUGUCCAGCUCAAUUGAAAUUUUUUUAUUAAGAGUUUAACUUAGUUGAAUAUGAUAAAUAAAUUAUUAUAAUUUUUUAAUAUUUAUUUUUAAUUUUUAUGAAUAAAAAACUAUUACAAUCUCAGUUCAUUUUCUUGGGACACGUAAUCAAGUUUAAUAACUAUUUCUCAUAGCUUAAAAAUUCAGUUAUGUCGAGUAUUUAUGUACAAAUUAGUUAGAACAAUAGGCGCGUAUAGUGGUCGCCCUCUAAGACAUAUAAUUGUGAAGAUCGAAGAGAAGCUUUAUACAAUUAUUAAUGAUAAAACUAUCAUUGUUAUAUAACAUGGGGCCAUAAAUGAGUGCAUGGAUUGAAUGAUGCAAAAUUGUUACAACUUAAUUAAUUAUCUUGAGUUUUAAUUUUAAAUAUAUAUUUGUGUUAAAUACUCCGGAAAGAGUUUUAUGUUCAUAAUUAUUAUAUUUAACUUGAACAAUAUUAACUCAACUGAUGAUGCAUAUAUAGUUUAUACAAAAAAUAUAUAUAUAACAUGGGACCUAGGCGAUGGCAAAACGGGUUGGAUCUAUUCGAUCAACCCAUUUUGGGCUUUUUUUUCGAAUUAGGUUGGAAUUUUCAAUCCUUCAACUGCUUUGCUAUGUUUUGAUCCGCUACAAAAUGGGUUGAGAGGAAAGUAGAACGGACCAACUCUCUAACCCGUUUUUUUUAUUAAGAAAUAAUUUUAGUAUUUAUUUUGAUAUUUUAUACUAAUAUUUAUUAAUUUUCAAUUAGCUUAUUUUUUGUCUAAAUAAAUUAUUAUUAAAAAUUUAAGGUAAUACAUUUAAUUUUUUAGUAAGUAUUUAUUAUUUAAUAUUUAUAAAAGAUAAAAUUAAUUAAAAUACAUUUAUAAUUUAUUUUUUUAGUUUUGACAUGACAAAAACGAAAUGAACUGAACACUUUGAAUCUAUAUAUAAAAUACGGGAUGAGAUGGGAUGGAUUGAUCCGUUUUUUAUGGAUUGAUCCCUUUUUGCUAGCCCUAAUGGGACCAAAGAGUCACUAUCCUUUAGAAAAAUUCACACCAAACUUUUGACAUUACAGGCAGGGACAAUGCGAGUAAUAAAUGGCAUAGAAUGAGACCCUAGUCCUCUGGCCACUAUAAAAAGGGAUGAUUGUGUGUGUUACAUGCAUCAGCCACCACCAUUGACUAGUAUCAUUAAGAUGGCUAAUUCCUACUUAUCCUUGCUUGUCUUGAUCCUUGUAGCUCUGCUCCUCACCCCUCAAGGGCUUGCUGAUGAAUCUGAUUCUUACUAUAAGCCACCAGUUUACAAGAAACCACCAGUGUACAAGCCCAAGCCCAAGCCACCCAUUCACAAGCCCAAGCCACCCGUUUACAAGCCCAAGCCACCCGUUUACAAGAAACCCCCUUAUGGUAAGUACCCACCAGUUCAAGACAACGAUCACUUCUAAACCAUGCAACAAGGCAUGUUAAUGUUAACUAUCUACUAAAAUAAAGAGGUUCAGUUAACCUACUACGUACGUUGCUCCUUUUAAUUCCUAAAUCGUAAUUUACAACUUUGUAGGGAUGAGACAUUCUUGGCUAGCUCUGCACUUCAAUCCUUUAUUUGUACAAUGCUAUGGCCAAGUCAAUACCAUGCAUCUUAUCUAUGUGUGUCAUUGAACGAAGUAGUUGCGUGAAAAUGAUGCUUGUACUAUGAAUAAAUAAUAAAAGAACUUUAUCAUUUCAAGAUUGUGCUGUUUAGUUUAUUUGCUGAACCACCGUUACUGACCAUAAAUAAUACACAUGCAGGUCUUGUUUAGGAUAAACUUAAUUAUCCGUAA
Molecule: long non-coding RNA, 18937 nt
Filed under: Glycine max (soybean)
Lineage: Eukaryota; Viridiplantae; Streptophyta; Magnoliopsida; Fabales; Fabaceae
Description: long non-coding RNA (GMAX_LNC002462)
Source: RNAcentral